AUUGAACGCUGGCGGCAUGCUUUACACAUGCAAGUCGAACGGUAACAGGCCUUCGGGUGCUGACGAGUGGCGAACGGGUGGGUAAUGCAUCGGAACGUACCCAGAGGUGGGGGAUAACGCAGCGAAAGCUGUGCUAAUACCGCAUGUGAUCUGAGGAUGAAAGCGGGGGACCGAGCAGCAAUGUUUGGCCUCGCGCCUUUGGAGCGGCCGAUGUCGGAUUAGCUAGUUGGUGGGGUAAAGGCCUACCAAGGCGACGAUCCGUAGCUGGUCUGAGAGGACGGCCAGCCACACUGGGACUGAGACACGGCCCAGACUACUACGGGAGGCAGCAGUGGGGAAUUUUGGACAAUGGGCGCAAGCCUGAUCCAGCAAUGCCGCGUGCGGGAAGAAGGCCUUCGGGUUGUAAACCGCUUUUGGCAGGAACGAAACGGUGUCCGCUAAUACCGGGCGCUAAUGACGGUACCUGCAGAAUAAGCACCGGCUAACUACGUG
RNAcentral lists this ribosomal RNA (492 nucleotides) under uncultured bacterium. RNAcentral's name for it is "partial 16S ribosomal RNA". It matches the Rfam family "Bacterial small subunit ribosomal RNA", at positions 29 to 507 of the family's 1533-position model. The record is from RNAcentral.